RNAcentral lists this ribosomal RNA (460 nucleotides) under uncultured Prolixibacter sp. RNAcentral's name for it is "bacterial SSU rRNA". It matches the Rfam family "Bacterial small subunit ribosomal RNA", at positions 338 to 795 of the family's 1533-position model. Lineage: Bacteria; Pseudomonadati; Bacteroidota; Bacteroidia; Marinilabiliales; Prolixibacteraceae. The record is from RNAcentral.
CCUACGGGUGGCUGCAGUGAGGAAUAUUGGUCAAUGGGCGCAAGCCUGAACCAGCCAUCCCGCGUGAAGGAUGAAGGCCCUAUGGGUCGUAAACUUCUUUUAUAUGCCAAGAAAACGACCUACGAGUAGGUUUUUGACGGUAGUAUAUGAAUAAGCAUCGGCUAACUCCGUGCCAGCAGCCGCGGUAAUACGGAGGAUGCGAGCGUUAUCCGGAUUCAUUGGGUUUAAAGGGUGCGUAGGCGGUUUUUUAAGUCAGUGGUGAAAUCCUGCGGCUCAACCGUAGAACUGCCAUUGAAACUGAAAAACUUGAAUAUAAUUGAGGUAGGCGGAAUGAGUAGUGUAGCGGUGAAAUGCUUAGAUAUUACUCAGAACACCAAUUGCGAAGGCAGCUUACCAAGCUGUAAUUGACGCUGAGGCACGAAAGCGUGGGGAUCGAACAGGAUUAGAUACCCCAGUAGUC